UACGUAGGUGGCAAGCGUUGUCCGGAAUUAUUGGGCGUAAAGCGCGCGCAGGUGGUUUCUUAAGUCUGAUGUGAAAGCCCACGGCUCAACCGUGGAGGGUCAUUGGAAACUGGGGAACUUGAGUGCAGGAGAGAAGAGUGGAAUUCCACGUGUAGCGGUGAAAUGCGUAGAUAUCGAGAGGAACACCAGUGGCGAAGGCGAGUCUCCGGACAAUUCCUGACGCUGAGGCACGAAAGCUAGGGGAGCAAACAGG
Molecule: ribosomal RNA, 253 nt
Filed under: uncultured bacterium
Lineage: Bacteria
Description: partial 16S ribosomal RNA
Rfam family: Bacterial small subunit ribosomal RNA
Source: RNAcentral